UGAUGUGAGGGCAAUCUGGCUGUGACACUUGCCAUCCCAUUGAUCACCAGGGUUGAUUUGGUUAAUCUGGGCGGGUGUCCCCUUUCUUCCUCACCGCUCGAUAUGGGUCCCACCCAAAGCUUCACAAUGGUGGAAGAAGAGGGCAGCCUUUUCCAAAUAGAGGGUGUAUGAGUAGCUACACCCCCCUGCUAGAUCCUCCAAACAAGCUCUCAAGACUAUGAAAUCAAGGGGACUGGGUGGUGGCACAAUGGGUUAAGCGCACAUGAUGCAAAGCGCAAGGAAUGGUAUAAGGAUCCUGAUU
Erinaceus europaeus (western European hedgehog) is the source of this 301-nucleotide unclassified non-coding RNA. Its record names the gene 7SK. It matches the Rfam family "7SK RNA". From Rfam's summary of the family: 7SK was discovered as an abundant small nuclear RNA in the mid-70s but a possible function has only recently been suggested. Two independent studies have found that 7SK RNA binds the CDK9/cyclin T complex (known as elongation factor P-TEFb). NCBI's taxonomy places the organism in Eukaryota, Metazoa, Chordata, Mammalia, Eulipotyphla, Erinaceidae. The record is from Ensembl.